CGCCGCCAUUGCUGCUGCCUGAAGCCGGCUGAUUUGUUUGAAUUUAUCGCUGAGAUGCAACCAGAUCUGAGGAAGAACAAAAUAUAGGUAAUAUUGAAUAGAAAUCGAAGAAGGGGAAGAGAAGAAACGAUGAAGAGUUAAAAUGCAAAGGUUUCAGUGAAAUGGAUUCCCGUUUUCUCCCUUUGUUUCUUCAUUAUUGGCAUGGUUUUCACCAGCAAUACGUGUUUUUACCGAGAAUUAUUGAUUUUUUUCCCUAAAACUUUGGGGGAUUUAGCUGUAAUUUAUACCGUUUGUUUUUAUUUUUUGUCUUGCUUUGAAUUUGCAGAUUUUGUGGUUCGUUGGAAUCGAAUAAUCAGCUCAUAACUCAACAAAGAAUUAUGAGCAACAUUAUUGUUAUCUGUGUCGAAUGAGGCUGUUUCUAGAAGUGUGAAGUCGGUGUUCAAAGCUUGGGAGCAGCGGCUUAACUCUUCAGAGAAUGACAACCAAUUUUU
Molecule: long non-coding RNA, 491 nt
Organism: Salvia miltiorrhiza (redroot sage)
Lineage: Eukaryota; Viridiplantae; Streptophyta; Magnoliopsida; Lamiales; Lamiaceae
Exons: 4
Source: RefSeq, a predicted model, not a curated record